Non-coding RNA from Arachis ipaensis, 489 nucleotides. The record is from RefSeq and is a predicted model, not a curated record. NCBI's taxonomy places the organism in Eukaryota, Viridiplantae, Streptophyta, Magnoliopsida, Fabales, Fabaceae.
UUAAGACUUCUCUUAUUAAUAGUGUCUUAAGGUGGGAUGUCAAGGUUUUGGGGCUUAGUUUGGAGUUGGAGAGGAAGGGAAAGAAAAUGGACAACUCACCAAGGAGGUGGUGGACAUGGAUGCGGUGCAAUAAAACUAAAGUAUAUAUUCUAAGUAUAUAAGUUGAGCCCAGUUGUUGUUAUACUGUAUCGGAUAGCGCAUCCUCCUAGCUCGAAGAGAAAGCCAAGUCAUCCUCCAAAGGCUGCUCCUGCUGGUGGUCCGGCUGCUGUUGCUGUGGUGGCAGCUGAAGCUUCAAGUGGUGACUCUUGUUCAUUGCUGUCUCUGAUCCUGCCACUGCUGUGACUGCAUUGCGGCCGGCACCCAUGGUUGUGCCUGCUAUUCAUCACAACCAGGAGAAUUUAAAAGAGCAUUUGGAGAAUACCAAUAUGACUGAUUUCAGCUGCUGUUUGCAGUUUUUGCAGGUUUGAUAUUUACUUCUAAAUGAUGCAU